RNAcentral lists this ribosomal RNA (494 nucleotides) under uncultured bacterium. RNAcentral's name for it is "partial 16S ribosomal RNA". It matches the Rfam family "Bacterial small subunit ribosomal RNA", at positions 28 to 507 of the family's 1533-position model. The record is from RNAcentral.
GACGAACGCUGGCGGCGUGCUUAACACAUGCAAGUCGAACGGUGAAGCGCCUUCCUUUUUGGUGGGUGUGGAUGAGUGGCGAACGGGUGAGUAACACGUGAGUAACCUGCCCCCUUCUUCUGGAUAACCGCAUGAAAGUGUGGCUAAUACGGGAUAUUCUGGUUCUGUCGCAUGAUGGGUCUGGGAAAGAUAUUGUUUCGGUGGGGGAUGGGCUCGCGGCCUAUCAGCUUGUUGGUGGGGUGAUGGCCUACCAAGGCGGUGACGGGUAGCCGGCCUGAGAGGGUGGACGGUCACACUGGGACUGAGACACGGCCCAGACUCCUACGGGAGGCAGCAGUGGGGAAUAUUGCACAAUGGGCGCAAGCCUGAUGCAGCGACGCCGCGGGAGGGAUGGAGGCCUUCGGGUUGUGAACCUCUUUCGCCAGUGAAGCAGGCCUGCCUCGUUUGUGGGUGGGUUGACGGUAGCUGGAUAAGAAGCGCCGGCUAACUACGUG